Molecule: long non-coding RNA, 904 nt
Organism: Zingiber officinale
Lineage: Eukaryota; Viridiplantae; Streptophyta; Magnoliopsida; Zingiberales; Zingiberaceae
Exons: 5
Source: RefSeq, a predicted model, not a curated record
CUUCCCACCACUUUCAUCCCCGCGCUCGUGAACAGCCCGAUUAGGCCACGCCGAAGAGCGCUUCCGACGUCGUCCUUCAUCCUCCAUUUCGAAUAGUAGUGACGCAGUCAAGACUAUAAUUCUCCUUCGCUACUCACUUUGAGACCACACGAGGCUCUUCCCUUCCAUUUCUCUUCCUUCUCCCUUCACCUCCCAACCAUCUCACAUGGCCUCAUAGCCGCUAGGACCCCAUCAUCCGCUGGAGCAUGACACCUUCCAUACUACCGCUGCUCUUCCCUGGAGCUCUCAGUUGUUGCUAUUCCAGCCACUACCUCCGUGUUGGAGGCAAAGGACCAGUCCUCCGGCCCGAAAAUAGUAAUGGGAGUUAUUCCGCGUCACCUGUGACCAGAUGGAGGAGUUCGUCGAGUCGAUGACUCCGAGUGUCUCGUAGACGAGGCCACGAAAUCAGCUCCUUCAAAACCUGGGAGCCUCAACGCCACCCCUGGGAUCUUGCCGAUUAGUGCCAUUCGACUUGAGCAGAUGAGCAUGGCUAUCUGAUGGCUAGUUAUUGAACUCCAGCAUGGCUCGGGUGUCACCGUAGCACAUGCCCAUACCUUCGUCCCAUUUGAUGCCAAGUUUUCUAAGGACGUCGGAAAAUAGCUAUGCUUGAGGACAUGAAGAAAACCCCUACCUAUGUUUAACAAAAGCCAAGUACUCUCAAGAAGAAAUUGAUGAAGUACACUCCGAGAUAGCUGAAUACAUACAAGAUUAUAUUUAUGAAUAGAUGGAAAUGGUGAGGCACAUCAUAGUGGACUCAGAGCUGCAUUAUCCAGCUACUUGUAAUGCAAUGUCCUCAAGGGUACAGGGAAGAAGGUCGGAAAGCCAAAAACAAUGGAGACUUCAACAGAUUAAGGAGCAAUGGGAG